Molecule: non-coding RNA, 471 nt
Organism: Camellia sinensis
Lineage: Eukaryota; Viridiplantae; Streptophyta; Magnoliopsida; Ericales; Theaceae
Source: RefSeq, a predicted model, not a curated record
UUUAUUUGUUUGCAUUAUUUUUCAUGUUAUUCUAGAGAAAAAUUCAGAGAGUUUAGAACACAGGUUUUGUUCGCUGUACAAAUUGUUUGGAGUGCUACUACAAUUUGUGAAGAUCAUUAUAUCUUGGGAGAUAAAUGCCAUUUAUCUUGAAAGAAUGGCUGAGAUUUGACUUCAUUCACAACCACAACUGAGAGCUAUUUUUGGAAGAUAAAAGGAGCGAAGGGCAGCUGUUUUAUUUCACAUUGCAUACGUUUCAACAAUCUUAAGGAGAUUCUGAGUAUUUAAAACAUUGAUGUAGUUGAACUAUCAACUCCCUCUUUUUCCGAGAAAGUGUGACAUUUGUUUUCCCGAGAAAGUGUUACGAAGUUCUUUGUGCGGUGAGGGAUGUUUUGCCGCUGAGAUCGUUAAGAUUUCCAUAUUUAUUGAAAGCGCAUUUGAUAGUUUGAUUAUUGGUGUUGUGUGCAGAGAAAA